CUAGCUCUUCCCUUUUCUGCAGCGCAUCCUGGAGCGCCCGAUGAAGUCGCUGGCUCUCGGCCUCCGCCUCUCGACGCCUCUUCCUCAAGACCUCGGAUUCCGCCUUCGCGUCCGCGACGGCCCGCUGCUCGUAUGCCAGUUGAAUCUUCAGUUGUUGCAGCUCGGCUAUCUUUUCCCUGAGGGCGACUGAAAUCCUUUCAACGAUUCCUCUUAAGGACUGGAGCUCAUCAAAAUCUCGGGCGGAAGUAAGCUGAGCCCUGCUGGCCAGCUGCCUCUGGAGAUGAGCGACUUCAUCGGUCGUCGCCCUGAGUCUCCCUUUAUAUUCC
RNAcentral lists this long non-coding RNA (326 nucleotides) under Elaeis guineensis (African oil palm). RNAcentral's name for it is "long non-coding RNA (EGUI_LNC067897)". Lineage: Eukaryota; Viridiplantae; Streptophyta; Magnoliopsida; Arecales; Arecaceae. The record is from RNAcentral.